AUUUUAGUGGAAUUGCAUGUGUAGAUGUUAUGUGUGGGACUUGGACACUUGUCCUAAUUUUUUUUUUCUUUUCUUUUUGGUUUUGUGUGUGUGUGUUUGAGUGAGUUUCAGGAGUUAGUUGGCCGCCGAGUUUGAGCUUCAAUGGAUCACGCGACUUGCCUCUUUGGAUUUCUCAUGGCUUCCAAUAAUUUCUAUGAAACUUUUCCGUUUCGUUCAAUGAGGACACUGCCUAAACUAAGUGUGGGGGUGAG
Molecule: long non-coding RNA, 251 nt
Filed under: Linum usitatissimum (flax)
Lineage: Eukaryota; Viridiplantae; Streptophyta; Magnoliopsida; Malpighiales; Linaceae
Description: long non-coding RNA (LUSI_LNC005939)
Source: RNAcentral